UAAAUACUCCCUCCGUUCGGAAUUACUUGUCUCGAAUAUGGAUGUAUCUAGAACUAAAAUACGUCUAGAUACAUCCAUUUCUGCGACAAGUAAUUCCGAACGGAGGGAGUAAAAG
Non-coding RNA from Triticum aestivum (bread wheat), 115 nucleotides. The record is from Rfam. NCBI's taxonomy places the organism in Eukaryota, Viridiplantae, Streptophyta, Magnoliopsida, Poales, Poaceae.